CUGGUACCGAAGCGAGACGGCACGACUCGCUUCUGUAUUGACUACCGGAAACUGAACGACCGGACUGUAAUUGAUGCCUACCCCAUGCCUCGGACUGACGAAUUGCAUGGCUGGAGGUCAUUUUCCAACUACCCUAGACUUGUGCAAGGGAUAUUGCUGAUCGACUCCUAGAUGGAUUGAAUGACUUUGCAUGUGCCUACCUAGACGACAUUGCCAUCUAUAGUAGCGCAUGGGAUGGCCACUUGAAG
Molecule: non-coding RNA, 248 nt
Organism: Pelobates cultripes (western spadefoot toad)
Lineage: Eukaryota; Metazoa; Chordata; Amphibia; Anura; Pelobatidae
Source: the annotation of a GenBank genome assembly